UCCGAGGUUAAGCUCUGCCUCCCUCAUCAUCUGCAUAAGGCUACUUAUCUGCCUUUCGAGACUAAGCCCUAUCUCCAUCUGCAUUUUGCAUAAGGCUACUUUUCUGCCUUCCGAGGUUAAGCUCUACCUCCAUCAUCAUCUGCAUAAGGUUACUCUUUUGCCUUUCGAGACUAAGCCCUGUCUCCAUCUACAUUUUGCAUAAGGCUACUUUUCUGCCUUUCGAGGUUUAUCUCUACCUCCAUCAUCAUCUGCAUAAGGCUACUUAUCUGC
This 270-nucleotide long non-coding RNA is filed under the name Nicotiana tabacum (common tobacco). Its description in RNAcentral is "long non-coding RNA (NTAB_LNC011370)". Lineage: Eukaryota; Viridiplantae; Streptophyta; Magnoliopsida; Solanales; Solanaceae. The record is from RNAcentral.